This is a long non-coding RNA of Polypterus senegalus (gray bichir), 1669 nucleotides long. RefSeq lists it as uncharacterized. The transcript is spliced from 4 exons. NCBI's taxonomy places the organism in Eukaryota, Metazoa, Chordata, Cladistia, Polypteriformes, Polypteridae. The record is from RefSeq and is a predicted model, not a curated record.
CCAUUUGAGUAGAGAGCGCCGAGAGGGAAGCGGGGCCUGCACUUUGUGACCCAAGCAGCUUCCUGUUGAGCAAACACUCCGCUUUGAGUGGCGAUUGUUUCAUAGGAGGGAACAGCCAGGGAAGCACAGGGAGUGAUGAAUUGUUAGCAGAUGGGCAGGCUGAGACCUGUGCAGAGUGACCGGCCCAGACACGCCACCAGCGCAAAGCACAGACUCGCCCGCAAGGCAGGAGCCAGGGGCAAAGUUCAGCUUCUCCCAGACGUAGGAGAGAAAAGUAAGAGGGCACUCAGCUUUGUAAGGAUGGCACCCUUCAACUGGCAAGCCACCUAGGUAAAGAUCAGGGCGAUCAGCUCAACGGAUGGAGCACCACCCAGCGCAAAACAGGAAGCGGCACCAUCUGCAAGCGGAAGCCACCACUCAGAAUAAGGACUUCUGUGAAAAAACUGAGCUGUGAGAACCUGCCAGCACAGCAAGAAGAACUGAAACUCAAGUUACAAGUGAGGGCAAACAGUCGAUUACUUCCGCCUUCCUGUGUGCCCCCACCCCUUCACAGAAACCAACCCAGACCAUCCUGAGUGAAGCAUGAAGGUGCAGUUCUGCUGCAAAGAGGCUCGGUGGAUGGAGGAUGCUGCAGCCUGCGUCCGUAGACGUCCUGCUGCACCCACAUCUCGUAUGACAAGGAAGCUACAUCAGGAGAGUACGAGGGAAUUGCCAGGUGGAGUGCCUGUGUGAACAAAGCCAACUCUGAAAUCCCAGGAAUCUCAAUCUUCUCAGUUCUCGACCAGCAAUCAAUUCCAGAAAUUAAAGGGUUGGUGAACUUAUCAACACAAAGAAGCAAAAGUGCUGAGUGAAGCCUACAACAACUCCCCAUGUCCUCGUGCUGUGUAUACAAAGGAGGAGUUCAGCUAUUUGGACAGUGUAAGCUGAACUGACGACUUUAAAAGCUAGCCAAGAAAUCAGCAAUUAAAUGCAGUUACCAGCAGGUGGCCAUGUGCAGUUUUGCGUUGUGCAGCUUUGAAGCAGCUCACGACUGUGGAGGUUGCUGGUGCAUUUUUUUUGCUUAACUGCUUUUCAACAUUUCAUACAAGGUACUGUCAAAGUAAGUAUGAGAGAUAAAAUACAAAGCACUCAAAGUCUUUUGGAUCUUAGGUUUACUUUUUCAAUAUUUAUAGCAGACAAAAUAUAAAUAUAAUCAACAUAUUUGUAUAAUUGCAGAAUACAGAUAUUUAAUAAAUAAAAAAAAGCACAAAGACAAUGGGCGAGUGACACCAAACCAUUAAACACUCAUCCACCAACAAAGAGAACAAAAAAAUUAAGACAGUCCCCUGUACACUUAACAAAAGACAAAAAAGAAAACACAUAAAACCAUAAACAUCCACCAUGUGAUGUGAUUUGAUUUUACCUUAAAUAAAAAAUGUUCAGCACACAACUUAACCCAUAAAGUAAACCGUGGGUAGGCUGACUUAUUGACAUGGAUAUCCUGGCAGAGGUUGGACUCUUUUAAGAGAUUCAGUGCACUUACCUCCUAUAUUGGGCUUGACUAUACACAGUGUACCAAGGAGCUGGAAAUCAUAAAAAAUACACAUUCAUAAUACACCCGCAGGAUGUAUCAUAGCAGUGAAGGUAAACGUAAAGGUAAUGAGGUAAAAAAAAACAAAAAAAAAACAAA